UACGUAGGGGGCAAGCGUUGUCCGGAAUCAUUGGGCGUAAAGCGCGCGUAGGUGGCCCUGUAAGUCCGUUGUGAAAGUCAAAGGCUCAACCUUUGAAAGCCGAUGGAUACUGCAGGACUAGAGUACGGAAGAGGCGAGUGGAAUUCCUGGUGUAGCGGUGGAAUGCGCAGAUAUCAGGAGGAACACCAAUAGCGAAGGCAGCUCGCUGGGACGUUACUGACACUGAGGCGCGAAAGCGUGGGGAGCGAACAGG
RNAcentral lists this ribosomal RNA (253 nucleotides) under uncultured bacterium. RNAcentral's name for it is "partial 16S ribosomal RNA". It matches the Rfam family "Bacterial small subunit ribosomal RNA", at positions 524 to 776 of the family's 1533-position model. The record is from RNAcentral.